GGGUUGGUAACUCAGAGGAUCAGAGUUUAUGUUUCCGAACCAUAAAGUCAGGGGUUCAAAUCCCCUCCAACUCA
Molecule: transfer RNA, 74 nt
Filed under: Equisetum hyemale (Dutch rush)
Lineage: Eukaryota; Viridiplantae; Streptophyta; Polypodiopsida; Equisetales; Equisetaceae
Also listed under: 3 other names
Description: tRNA-Arg
Rfam family: tRNA
About the family: Transfer RNA (tRNA) molecules are approximately 80 nucleotides in length. Their secondary structure includes four short double-helical elements and three loops (D, anti-codon, and T loops). Further hydrogen bonds mediate the characteristic L-shaped molecular structure. tRNAs have two regions of fundamental functional importance: the anti-codon, which is responsible for specific mRNA codon recognition, and the 3' end, to which the tRNAs corresponding amino acid is attached (by aminoacyl-tRNA synthetases). tRNAs cope with the degeneracy of the genetic code in two manners: having more than one tRNA (with a specific anti-codon) for a particular amino acid; and 'wobble' base-pairing, i.e. permitting non-standard base-pairing at the 3rd anti-codon position.
Source: RNAcentral